GCGUAAUAGCUCACUGGUCGAGAGGUCCUGCGCCGAAAAUGUCCGGGGCUGAAACGCGCCACCGAAACUAAGGAACCGAAAGGUUGGUAGAGGAGCAUUGCAUGCGGGAAGAAGCAGUACCGGAAGGAGCUGUGGACUGCAUGGAAGAGAGAAUGCCGGAAUGAGUAGCGAGAUAGAGGUGGGAAUCCUCUAGGCCGAAUAUCCAAGGUUUCCAGAGUAAAGCUGAUCUGCUCUGGGUAAGUCGGGGCCUAAGGCGAGGACGAGAGUCGUAGCCGAUGGACAACAGGUGGAGAUUCCUGUACUGCGGUAUGACAGAACUGUGGGGACACGUAAGGAAAGCGGAAGCCGGGAAUGGAGAGCCCGGUGCAAGCGGGGUACCAGUCACUUUGGCAAAUCCGGGUGGCAAUGGGAAGCCGUGAUGCGGAGCGAAAUAAAGUAGCGAAGUCCGUGAGCCAUGCGUCAAGAAAAGCCGCUAUCGUUUAUACCGUACCCGUACCGUAAACCGACACAGGUGGAUGAGGAGAGAAUCCUAAGGCCGGCGGGAGAAGCAUUGUUAAGGAACUCGGCAAAAUGACCCUGUAACUUCGGGAGAAAGGGUGCCUGGGAAACCAGGCCGCAGAGAAUAGGCUCAAGCAACUGUUUAGCAAAAACACAGGUCUAUGCGAAACCGAAAGGUGAGGUAUAUGGGCUGACGCCUGCCCGGUGCUGGAAGGUUAAGAGGAGAGGUUAGCGCAAGCGAAGCUUUGAAUUUAAGCCCCAGUAAACGGCGGCCGUAACUAUAACGGUCCUAAGGUAGCGAAAUUCCUUGUCGGGUAAGUUCCGACCCGCACGAAAGGCGUAAUGAUUUGAGCACUGUCUCGACAAUGCACCCGGUGAAAUUGAAAUACCAGUGAAGAUGCUGGUUACCUGCGCCAGGACGGAAAGACCCCAUGGAGCUUUACUCCAGUCUGGUACUGGGACUCGGUAUUGCAUGUACAGGAUAGGUGGGAGGCUAGGAGAUGGUAACGCCAGUUGCCAUGGAGCCGCUGUUGGGAUACCACCCUUGCAGUAUUGGGUUUCUAACCAGCCGCCGUGACCCGGCGGUGGGACAAUGCCAGACGGGGAGUUUGACUGGGGCGGUCGCCUCCGAAAGGGUAUCGGAGGCGCCCAAAGGUUCCCUCAGAAUGGACGGAAACCAUUCGAAGAGUGCAAAGGCAGAAGGGAGCUUGACUGCGACACCGACGGGUGGAGCAGGUACGAAAGUAGGACUUAGUGAUCCGGUGGUAUGAAAGUGGGAUUGCCAUCGCUCAACGGAUAAAAGCUACCCUGGGGAUAACAGGCUUAUCACUCCCAAGAGUUCACAUCGACGGAGUGGUUUGGCACCUCGAUGUCGGCUCAUCGCAUCCUGGGGCUGAAGUAGGUCCCAAGGGUUGGGCUGUUCGCCCAUUAAAGCGGUACGCGAGCUGGGUUCAGAACGUCGUGAGACAGUUCGGUCCCUAUCCGGCGUGGGCGUAGGAUAUCUGAGAGGAGCUGUCCUUAGUACGAGAGGACCGGGAUGGACGGGCCGCUGGUGCAUCGGUUAGACUGCCAAGUCUACGGCCGAGUAGCCAAGCCCGGAAGGGAUAAACGCUGAAGGCAUCUAAGCGUGAAGCCCCCCUUAAGAUGAGAUAUCCCAUUCGAAAGAAGUAAACCCCCUUGAAGACGACGAGGUAGAUAGGGCAGAGGUGGAAGUGCAGCAAUGCAUGGAGCUGACUGUUACUAAUCGGGUGAGGGCUUGACCAA
This 1761-nucleotide ribosomal RNA is filed under the name human gut metagenome. RNAcentral's name for it is "bacterial LSU rRNA". It matches the Rfam family "Bacterial large subunit ribosomal RNA", at positions 1132 to 2925 of the family's 2925-position model. The record is from RNAcentral.